RNAcentral lists this ribosomal RNA (253 nucleotides) under uncultured bacterium. RNAcentral's name for it is "partial 16S ribosomal RNA". It matches the Rfam family "Bacterial small subunit ribosomal RNA", at positions 524 to 776 of the family's 1533-position model. The record is from RNAcentral.
UACGAAGGGGGCUAGCGUUGCUCGGAAUUACUGGGCGUAAAGCGCACGUAGGCGGUCUUUUAAGUCGGGGGUGAAAUCCUGGAGCUCAACUCCAGAACUGCCUUCGAUACUGGAAGACUCGAGUCCGGGAGAGGUGAGUGGAACUGCGAGUGUAGAGGUGAAAUUCGUAGAUAUUCGCAAGAACACCAGUGGCGAAGGCGGCUCACUGGCCCGGUACUGACGCUGAGGCACGAAAGCGUGGGGAGCAAACAGG